RNAcentral lists this long non-coding RNA (265 nucleotides) under Lathyrus oleraceus (garden pea). RNAcentral describes it as "Pisum sativum (pea) long non-coding RNA (PSAT_LNC031844)". The record is from RNAcentral. Lineage: Eukaryota; Viridiplantae; Streptophyta; Magnoliopsida; Fabales; Fabaceae.
UACAUUCUAGCCUUAUAAAUUUAGCUAGACAUGGUAAAGUAAAAGUGCAUUAAAAUAAAUAAAAGUAGUGCGAGUGCGGAAAGUAAAUAAUUUAAAGCGAGUGCGAGGAAAUAAAUAAAUUAAAGCGAGUGCGGGAAAUAAAUAAAGUAAAAGCGAGUGCGGGAAAUAAAUAAAAUAAAAGCGAGUGCGGGAAAUAAAUAAAGUAAAGGCGAGUAAUAAAAACCUGCUCCAAUCGGAGGGCUGAGUAAAUUGCAAUGCGGAAAAG